Molecule: transfer RNA, 65 nt
Filed under: Dipodomys ordii (Ord's kangaroo rat)
Lineage: Eukaryota; Metazoa; Chordata; Mammalia; Rodentia; Heteromyidae
Rfam family: tRNA
About the family: Transfer RNA (tRNA) molecules are approximately 80 nucleotides in length. Their secondary structure includes four short double-helical elements and three loops (D, anti-codon, and T loops).
Source: Rfam by way of RNAcentral
GGUGGCUCAGUGGUAGAGUGCUUGCCUUGCAUGCAUGAGGCCCUGGAUUCAAUUCCCCAGCACCA